RNAcentral lists this ribosomal RNA (253 nucleotides) under uncultured bacterium. RNAcentral's name for it is "partial 16S ribosomal RNA". It matches the Rfam family "Bacterial small subunit ribosomal RNA", at positions 524 to 776 of the family's 1533-position model. The record is from RNAcentral.
UACAGAGGUCCCAAGCGUUGUUCGGAUUCACUGGGCGUAAAGGGUGUGUAGGAGGUUUGGUAAGUCAGAGGUGAAAUCUUCGCGCCCAACGCGGAAACUGCCUCCGAUACUACCAGACUAGAGGCUCGGAGGGGCAAGCGGAAUUCUCGGUGUAGCAGUGAAAUGCGUAGAUAUCGAGAGGAACACCGGUGGCGUAAGCGGCUUGCUGGAAGAGACCUGACUCUGAAACACGAAAGCUAGGGGAGCAAACGGG